This 480-nucleotide ribosomal RNA is filed under the name uncultured bacterium. RNAcentral describes it as "bacterial SSU rRNA". It matches the Rfam family "Bacterial small subunit ribosomal RNA", at positions 328 to 793 of the family's 1533-position model. The record is from RNAcentral.
UGACAGUACUCCUACGGGGAGGCAGCAGUGGGGGAAUAUUGCACAAUGGGCGCAAGCCUGAUGCAGCCAUGCCGCGUGUGUGAAGAAGGCCUUCGGGUUGUAAAGCACUUUCAGUCGUGAGGAAGGUAGUGUAGUUAAUAGCUGCAUUAUUUGACGUUUAGCGACAGAAGAAGCACCGGCUAACUCCGUGCCAGCAGCCGCGGUAAUACGGAGGGUGCGAGCGUUAAUCGGAAUUACUGGGCGUAAAGCGCAUGCAGGUGGUUUGUUAAGUCAGAUGUGAAAGACCCGGGGCUCAACCUCGGAAUAGCAUUUGUAAACUAGGCAGACUAGAGUACUGUAGAGGGGGGUAGGAAUUUCAGGUGUAGCGGUGAAAUGCGUAGAGAUCUGAAGGAAUACCGGUGGCGAAGGCGGCCCCCUGGACAGAUACUGACACUCAGAUGCGAAAGCGUGGGGAGCAAACAGGAUUAGAUACCCUGGUAG